This 926-nucleotide long non-coding RNA is filed under the name Heterocephalus glaber (naked mole-rat). Its description in RNAcentral is "lncRNA (ENSHGLG00100040886.1)". The record is from RNAcentral. Lineage: Eukaryota; Metazoa; Chordata; Mammalia; Rodentia; Bathyergidae.
UGACCUCUCCCAGGUGGGCACAGAACUCCCAGGCUCAGGACUCACCGUGGACUCCAGGGCUCCGCAGGCAUUCAGGGGAAAGGGGUGGGGAUGCAGGAAGGAGGCUCAGCCCAGAGGGCGGGGCCAAGAUCCUGAUUGGAGGAAAUCAAGGUGAGCGCGCUGCUACAAACUGGGCCCCUAUUUCUAGUUGGUGGCCAAACAUUUUGCCUGGGGCUGGGCCUGGGGCUGGGCCCGGGGCUGGGCCCGGGGCUGGGCCUGGGGCUUUGCCCGGGGCUGGGUCUAGGGCUGGGUCCAGGGCUGGGCCGCGGACUGGGCCUCGGACUGGGCCUCGGACUGGGCCUCGGACUGGGCCUCGGACUUGGCCUCGGAUUGGGCCGAGGAUUGGGCAGAGGCACGGGCCUACUGAUGGGCCUCCUGCUCGUGCCAGGUCGCCGCCGAGGUCUGCUUUGGCGGUUUCCACAUUCACGCAUCAGCCCGUUCACUGCGUCCGGGAGAAAACAGCUGGCGAGGCUCGGUUCCCCCCCACUCUCCGCCGGGAAGAGCAUGGCUUCGGGCGGCCCUGCGCAGAGAACGCAGAUGUGGACCCUCGGAAAGAAGAUUCGCACAGCCCUUAUCACCACCAUCGAUGUCUCCAUUAGGAAAUGAGCAUCAUACACAGGCUGAUUUUGCUCAGUGAGGUACUGUACCUCCUGUGCCUCAGAGAAUCUCAGUAAGUAUCUGUUCUCAAAUGGAGAACAGCCUGUAAGUAUUCAAUCUCUGCCCCUGGGGUCCUAACCAAGCCGAGUUCACUGGAUUCCCAGUGCCUGACUCAGUGCCUUGGUGGUGAAUAUUAAGCAUCACUAAAUAUUUCUGCAACUAAAAAAACAGCAGAAAAUGUUGUUAUGGCUUGUAUUUUGAUGUCCUCCAAAGCCUCAUGUGGUCAUAGG